Molecule: ribosomal RNA, 253 nt
Filed under: uncultured prokaryote
Description: partial 16S ribosomal RNA
Rfam family: Bacterial small subunit ribosomal RNA
Source: RNAcentral
UACGGGGGGGGCUAGCGUUGUUCGGAAUUACUGGGCGUAAAGGGCGCGUAGGCGGCCCUCUAAGUCAGACGUGAAAUCCCUCGGCUCAACCGGGGAACUGCGUCUGAUACUGGAGGGCUUGAAUCCGGGAGAGGGAUGUGGAAUUCCAGGUGUAGCGGUGAAAUGCGUAGAUAUCUGGAGGAACACCGGUGGCGAAGGCGGCGUUCUGGACUGCAACUGACACUGAAAAACGAAAGCCAGGGGAGCAAACGGG